UACGGAGGAUGCGAGCGUUAUCCGGAUUUAUUGGGUUUAAAGGGUGCGUAGGCGGGUUUUUAAGUCAGUGGUGAAAGUUUGCAGCUCAACUGUAAAAUUGCCAUUGAAACUGAAGACCUUGAGUGCAAAUGAGGUAGGCGGAAUGUGUUGUGUAGCGGUGAAAUGCAUAGAUAUAACACAGAACUCCGAUUGCGAAGGCAGCUUACUGGGAUGCAACUGACGCUGAUGCACGAAAGCGUGGGUAUCAAACAGG
This 253-nucleotide ribosomal RNA is filed under the name uncultured bacterium. Its description in RNAcentral is "partial 16S ribosomal RNA". It matches the Rfam family "Bacterial small subunit ribosomal RNA", at positions 524 to 776 of the family's 1533-position model. The record is from RNAcentral.